UAUCUCAGGUGGUUUUGGUGUAUCUCAGGUGGGUUUGGUGUAUCUCAGGUGAAUUUUGGUGUAUCUCAGGUGGGUUUUGGUGUAUCUCAGGUGGGUUUUGGUGUAUCUCAGGUGGGUUUUGGUCUAUCUCAGGUGGUUUUGGUGUAUCUCAGGUGGGUUUGGUGUAUCUCAGGUGGUUUUGGUGUAUCUCAGGUGGGUUUGGUGUCUCUCAGGUGGGUUUUGGGUCUCUCAGGUGGUUUUGGUGUCUCUCAGGUGGGUUUUGGUGUAUCUCAGGUGGUUUUGGUGUAUCUCAGGUGGGUUUGGUGUCUCUCAGGUGGGUUUUGGUGUCUCUCAGGUGGUUUUGGUCUAUCUCAGGUGGGUUUGGUGUAUCUCAGGUGGUUUUGGUGUAUCUCAGGUGGUUUUGGUGUCUCUCAGGUGGGUUUGGUGUCUCUCAGGUGGGUUUUUGGGUCUCCCAGGUGUCUCUCAGGUGCACCGGUUGGUUACUGGCUGGUUACUGGUUGGUUAGCGGUUGGUUAGCGGUUGGUUAGUGGUCGGUUAGUGGGCCCCGGGCAGCGGUCGCUGGGGUCGCUUCCCGCGGUCACCGGGUCCCUCCAGCCGGUUGACGCCUUUGCCGCCGUCGUGGUCGCCAUGGAGACCGUGGAGAUGCUUCUGCUGGUGGUGGUGGCCAUGGAGAUCGUUGUGGUCACCAUGGAAACCAUCGUGGUUGCCGUGGAGACCGUGGAGAUGCUUCUGCUGGUGGUGGUGGCCGUGGAGAUCAUUGUGGUUGCCGUGGAGACCAUGGAGAUGCUUCUCCUGGUGGUGGUCAUGGUGGUCGCCAUGGAGACCGUGAAGAUGCUUCUCCUGGUGCUGGUGGCCCUGGAGAUCGUUGUGGUCGCCAUGGAAACCGUGAAGGUGCUUCUCCUGGUGCUGGUCCCCGUGCUUCUCCUGCUGGUGGUGGCCGUGGAGACCGUGGGGAUGUUUCUCCAGGUGAUGGUUGCCAUGGAGACCAUCGUGGUCGCCAUGGAGAUCCUUGUGGUUGCCCUGGUGACCGCCAUGGUGGUCCCUGUGCUUCUCCUGGUGGCGGUUGCCAUGGUGACCGUCGUGGUCGCCGUGGAGAUCAUAAAGAUGUUUCUCCAUGUGGUGGUUGCCAUGGAGACCAUCGUGGUGGUGGUCCCCAUGGUUUUCAUGGUGGUGGUUGCCAUGGAGACCAUAAUGGUUGCUAUGGAGAUGGUGGGGAUGCUUCUCCUGGCGGUGGUUGCCAUGGAGACCGUCGUGGUGGUCCCCGCGCUUCUCCUGGUGAUGGUUGCCAUGGAGAUCGUCGUGGUUGCCAUGGAAACCAUCGUGGUUGCCAUGGAAACCAUGGGCAUGCUUCUCCUGGUGGUGGUCGCCAUGGAAACCAUCGUGGUUGCCAUGGAAACCAUCGUGGUUGCCAUGGAGAUCAUCAUGGUUGUCAUGGUGACCGUGAUGCUGGGCGUGGUCCCCGUGCUUCUCCUGGUGGUGGUUGCCAUGGAGACCAUGAAGAUGUUUCUCCAGGUGAUGGUUGCCACGCAGAUGGUGGUGGUUGCCAUGGUGACCGUCACGGACAUCCCCGUGCUUUUCCUGGUGGUGGUUGCCAUGGUGACCAUCGUGGUCGCCAUGGCGACCGUGGGGAUGUUUCUCCUGGUGGUGGUCACCAUGGUGACCAUGAAGAUGCUUCUCCUGGUGGUGGUCACCAUGGAGACCAUGGUGGUUGCCAUGGAGACCAUGGGGAUGCUUUUCAUGGUGGUUGCCGUGGAGAUCGUUGUGGUUGCCAUGGUGACCAUGAAGAUGUUUCUCUUGGUGGUGGUCACCAUGGAGACCAUCGUGGUU
This 1827-nucleotide long non-coding RNA is filed under the name Lonchura striata (white-rumped munia). RNAcentral's name for it is "domestica (Bengalese finch) lncRNA (ENSLSDG00000011229.1)". Lineage: Eukaryota; Metazoa; Chordata; Aves; Passeriformes; Estrildidae. The record is from RNAcentral.